CUUAAACUACAAUUCCCAGGAGGCCUAGCGACACCUCUCGCGCGGCGUGGCGGGAGUGCCCACGGAGGCUACGCUUUCUUCGGCGGCGUGUAGAGGGAGAUUUCCCGCGGAUGGGUAUGGUGGUGAUCAUUGGUGAACAACUUCGUUGCCACAGAAAGGCCUAGAGGCUAUCAUGACAGAUUCUGAAUGACAACUUUCAACUUAGAGCUUUCAAGAAGUCCAGAAUAUUUCAAAGGAAUCUGUGUAUUGGAAUGAGCAAUAGCAAGAUCCAUGUCUGGCGGGCAGAAAUACCAAAAGAAAAUUAAGAGAUAUAACAUGCAGAGCUGCUGGUCUACAGCAAAGAAGACAGUAAUAGUUGAGGACCUUCAAAAUUCUGGGCCACAAUAAAGU
This is a non-coding RNA of Peromyscus maniculatus bairdii (prairie deer mouse), 390 nucleotides long. The record is from RefSeq and is a predicted model, not a curated record. Lineage: Eukaryota; Metazoa; Chordata; Mammalia; Rodentia; Cricetidae.